Molecule: ribosomal RNA, 500 nt
Filed under: uncultured bacterium
Lineage: Bacteria
Description: partial 16S ribosomal RNA
Rfam family: Bacterial small subunit ribosomal RNA
Source: RNAcentral
AUUGAACGCUGGCGGCAUGCCUUACACAUGCAAGUCGAACGGCAGCACGGGAGCAAUCCUGGUGGCGAGUGGCGAACGGGUGAGUAAAGUAUCGGAACGUGCCCAGUCGUGGGGGAUAACGUAGCGAAAGUUACGCUAAUACCGCAUACGAUCUAUGGAUGAAAGCGGGGGAUCGCAAGACCUCGCGCGAUUGGAGCGGCCGCUAUCAGAUUAGGUAGUUGGUGGGGUAAAGGCUCACCAAGCCGACGAUCUGUAGCUGGUCUGAGAGGACGACAAGCCACACUGGGACUGAGAGACGGCCCCAACUCCGACGGGAGGCAGCAGUGGGGAAUUUUGGACAAUGGGCGAAAGCCUGAUCCAGCCAUGCCGCGUGCAGGAUGAAGGCCUUCGGGUUGUAAACUGCUUUUGUACGGAACGAAAAGGUUUGGCCUAAUAAGCUGAGCUCAUGACGGUACCGUAAGAAUAAGCACCGGCUAACUACGUGCCAGCAGCCGCAGUAA